CUGCCUGUGGUACUCAAACUGUGGGGGCAUUUUUUUGUUUUUGAAUAAAAAGUGCCGCCAGGUUUUGAGCGUUACCGGUUG
RNAcentral lists this microRNA precursor (81 nucleotides) under Microtus ochrogaster (prairie vole). Its description in RNAcentral is "miRNA (ENSMOCG00000009181.1)". The stretch from base 7 to 75 matches the Rfam family "mir-290 microRNA precursor family". The record is from RNAcentral. Lineage: Eukaryota; Metazoa; Chordata; Mammalia; Rodentia; Cricetidae.